UCGCCGCUCGUGACGUCUUGAGAAGUCCACUGAACCUUAUCAUUUAGAGGAAGGAGAAGUCGUAACAAGGUUUCCGUAGGUGAACCUGCGGAAGGAUCAUUGUCGAAAUACUCAAAGAGGACUGUGAACACGUCAACGAGCAUCGUCGGGCGGAGCCUGCCUCGUACCGACGUAGUGUCGGACCUCGCGGUGCGGACGACCGACCAAACCUCCGGCGCGAUGGGUGCCAAGGAGCACGGAACUAGCGUGCGGGCGGGAUUUUGUCCCGGUCGCCCUGCCAUUAGUAAGAACCGAAUGACUCUCGGCAACGGAUAUCUCGGCCCUCGCAUCGAUGAAGAACGUAGCGAAAUGCGAUACAUGGUGUGAAUUGCAGAAUCCCGCGAACCAUUGAGUCUUUGAACGCAAGUUGCGCCCGAGGCCUUCCGGUCGAGGGCACGCCUGCCUGGGCGUCACGCUAUCGUCGCUCCUUGCGCCCCCAAGCUCGAAGCACGAGCGAUGGAGCCGGAUGCGGACACUGGCCCUCCGUGCGCUCCCGCGCGGUCGGCCGAAGAGGUUGCCGUCGCCGAUGGUCGGACACGACGGAUGGUGGCGCCAUUAGCAAGCCGAAAGUCGUGCCUCGGCCUCGGAGGCGAUCUCCGAAAGGAACCCCCCAUCGCUCUGUAAUCGAAGGGCUCGGAUUGCGACCCCAGGUCAGGCGGGGCCACCCGCCGAGUUUAAGCAUAUAAAUAAGCGGAGGAGAAGAAACUUACAAGGAUUCCCAUAGUAACGGCGAGCGAACCGGGAUCGGCCCAGCUUGAGAAUCG
This 803-nucleotide ribosomal RNA is filed under the name Pleiostachya pruinosa. RNAcentral describes it as "eukaryotic LSU rRNA". The stretch from base 297 to 452 matches the Rfam family "5.8S ribosomal RNA". Lineage: Eukaryota; Viridiplantae; Streptophyta; Magnoliopsida; Zingiberales; Marantaceae. The record is from RNAcentral.